CUGACGAUGUCGUUUUUUCGUUUGUUUUGAUACUCCACCGACCCAAUACUCGAGCGCUGUCGUUCAACCGGCAACAAAGCAAAGCUGCGGAGCAAUCUCUGUAAGGAAGACGACGAAGAACUCCGAAGUUAAGUUUUGGACCCUCGUCCAAACACACUGAAAAGAUGGGAACAUGGGGACUCGAAGGCAUCUUUUCUGUUUAUCAAAUUGCCAUCGCAAUGCCUCGUUGUUAUCAAAAUCUUGGUUUAAAAGGACCCUCUAGCGGAGUGGAAGUAGAAGGGAGUUUAUUCAGAGCAUUGGUGAGCGGAAACAUCAAUCGAAGAUAAGAAUUUGGAAGAGCCAAUUCCUGAAGGAUGGGAGUUGAAGGAUGAAGGCUCCAAAACCUCGCACUACUUGUGCCCUACAACUGGUCAGCAUUUUUCAACAUAUGAAGAUCUUUUGAGAUAUGCGAAGGAAAACAAGCUUUCAAUAUAUGUGCCGGGUUUUAAGAUCAACAAACUAAAGAGGAAACGUAAGAGGAUGAGGAACAAACCUAGCUCUGCAGCUAGAGGGAACUCUGGCGGUCAGAGCUCAAGGCCACCACCUCUGAAUCCGGGUAAAGAAAGCAAUGGUUUAGAGGAAACUGCCGACCCUAUGGAAAGCAAUGAUACCGGGGAGGACACCGAAGUUGGUGAGGCUGGGAAGAGCAUUGAAGCUGGUGACCUUGAAGCAUCAGAAGCUAUGAAAGAAUAAGCCUCUGAGGCUAUCCAUUCGUGUCUCCAAGGUGCGGAGUAUUGGCUUUUCUGUUGAUUGUCGGAUUGCUAUUUUCUCUGGUCUCUUCAGAAUAAUGCAUUUUCCAGUUUGGUUAAUCCUGAGUUUACUUUGGUUUGGUAUUUUGAUUUGAGUCUUGUAUGCAUUACAGCAUGAGAGGUCGACUAGGCCGUUAAAAAAACGAAUAAAAUGGACAGAUUG
Long non-coding RNA from Pyrus x bretschneideri (Chinese white pear), 951 nucleotides. RefSeq lists it as uncharacterized. The transcript is spliced from 5 exons. The record is from RefSeq and is a predicted model, not a curated record. NCBI's taxonomy places the organism in Eukaryota, Viridiplantae, Streptophyta, Magnoliopsida, Rosales, Rosaceae.